Molecule: long non-coding RNA, 215 nt
Filed under: Elaeis guineensis (African oil palm)
Lineage: Eukaryota; Viridiplantae; Streptophyta; Magnoliopsida; Arecales; Arecaceae
Description: long non-coding RNA (EGUI_LNC072714)
Source: RNAcentral
GACAUUUAUUAGAUCUAGAUUAGUUAGACUUCUAAGUCUAGGAUCUACCUUUUGGCCUUUGUACUUUGUUAGCUGAUUGACUCUUGGAUAGUUUCUAUCCAUGACUUUUGUAUUUUGAGUUGACUUAUGUGUAUUGGGACACCUUUUGUAUUCAGUCACUUUUGAAUAUAUAUAUAUGUGUGCUUUGACUUUCAAUGAAUAUCUAUGAAUGUGAU